UGUCAAUGAUUUCAGGGCAGAUGAAGUGGAUGUGCGUAUCGAUACCGCCAGGGGUAACAAUAUAGCCCCAGCCGCCGUGUACUUCCGUACCGGGGCCGAUGAUCAUACCCGGGGUAACACCAUCCUGUGUAUCAGGGUUACCGGCUUUACCGAUGGCUUUGAUUUUACCGUCUUUCACACCUAUAUCUGCUUUUACAAUACCCCAGUGAUCGAUGAUGAUAGCACCGAGGAUACAGAGGUCCAGUGCGUCUUUGUCCAUCGUGGAAGUGGAUUGUCCCAUCCCGUCACGAACG
RNAcentral lists this small RNA (293 nucleotides) under Chitinophaga jiangningensis. Its description in RNAcentral is "5' ureB small RNA". It matches the Rfam family "5' ureB small RNA". Lineage: Bacteria; Pseudomonadati; Bacteroidota; Chitinophagia; Chitinophagales; Chitinophagaceae. The record is from Rfam by way of RNAcentral.